This 203-nucleotide long non-coding RNA is filed under the name Phoenix dactylifera (date palm). Its description in RNAcentral is "long non-coding RNA (PDAC_LNC011824)". Lineage: Eukaryota; Viridiplantae; Streptophyta; Magnoliopsida; Arecales; Arecaceae. The record is from RNAcentral.
GGAGGAGUACGGUCGUAGUAGGUGGCUGACAAGGGCAGACCUUGAGCAUCAGGAUUUUCCUAGGUCGGAGGUCUCAAGGUCGGAUGUCUUGAGGUCGGGCGUUCCGAGGUCGGACGCCGACUUUGGCUGUUCAGGGUCGGCGAUUGUGCGGCUUCUUGGGGGCAUUCGUGUCACUUGGGGAAAAAUCUUAUUCCCCCAACACU